RNAcentral lists this long non-coding RNA (169 nucleotides) under Ictidomys tridecemlineatus (thirteen-lined ground squirrel). RNAcentral describes it as "lncRNA (ENSSTOG00000033381.1)". Lineage: Eukaryota; Metazoa; Chordata; Mammalia; Rodentia; Sciuridae. The record is from RNAcentral.
UGGCUCUAGGUGAAAGUAACUGCUGUUGUUUGUCGCAGCAGAAGAUAAGCCCCAGCCUUCUCCUGCUGCGACCUUUGCUCUGACCUCCCCAGUAAGCAGCAGUUUCCAAGAUUAGCAUGGAGGCGACAGUGCUGGUGGAGAGAUUCCUGGCUCCUUUCUGCAAAGUGUC